AGGGAUUGAUGAGUAAUCAAAUUGAUUCCGAAUUAUGAAAUGAUUUCUUUUGUAAAUUGAUUUCAUUUUCUCUAUUUCAAAGACUUAUGAGUGGUAGCCUUGAUUAUACUCUUUUAUGAGUAGUUAAAUUGGAUCUGAAUUGUGAAAUGAUUUCUUUUGUAAAUUGAUUUUAUUUCCUCCAUUUCAAAGACUUGUGAGUGGUAGCCUUGAUUAUACUCUUUUAUGAGUAGUUAAAUUGGAUUUGAAUUGUGAAAUGAUUUCUUUUGUAAAUUGAUUUCAUUUCCUAUAUUUCAAAGACUUGUAAGUGGUAGCCUUGAUUAUACUCCUUUAUGAGUAAUUAAAUUGGAUCUGAAUUGUGAAAUGACUUCUUUUNUAAAUUGAUUUCAUUU
Molecule: long non-coding RNA, 389 nt
Filed under: Phoenix dactylifera (date palm)
Lineage: Eukaryota; Viridiplantae; Streptophyta; Magnoliopsida; Arecales; Arecaceae
Description: long non-coding RNA (PDAC_LNC006159)
Source: RNAcentral